Non-coding RNA from Chiloscyllium plagiosum (whitespotted bambooshark), 3072 nucleotides. The record is from RefSeq and is a predicted model, not a curated record. NCBI's taxonomy places the organism in Eukaryota, Metazoa, Chordata, Chondrichthyes, Orectolobiformes, Hemiscylliidae.
AUGAUCCAGUAUUGUGGGUCCGCGAAGAGGGAAGUGCAGGGCGGUUUCUGUAGUGAUCACUCAUGCGGACGGGCCGGCUUUAGGGCCCCGGGCCAGGAAUGUGGAGUCCUCAGCUUUGGACACAUUCAGAUAGUCGGGUGUCAGGGCGGUCUGAGGGAGCCUCUCCCAAAGAAUCCAGUCAGUCCAUCCCAUAGAAGGUAAUACAUGCAAAAGGGGACUCCGACAUAGCUGGGAAUGGGGGUAACUGCUUCUUGGACGAAUCCUUUGGAUCUAGGAUCAGUGUCAGAUCUCAGUUGGAGGAGAUUAGCUUCACACCAGAGGCUUCCCUGGGAAGGUCUGAGCAGGAUUCCGCCCGGUCCUACAGCCACUCCGUCUCUCUGCUUCCGUGUUUUCCAGUCGUCUGCAGCCAAUCUACCGAGCCUGCCAUGAUAAACUUUUCCUUUUUCGCUCGCUCAGCCUGUGUGGGAGGUUUCCUGUGUGGCUUAACUUCCGCCAAAAUAGAGGAAGGAUCCCGGAGACAGUUAAACAGAGCUGUGAUACUGUCAGUGCAAAAAAAGGGUCCGUUUUCACCAGCAGCUUGGGACGCUGCUAUUUGUCCUUCCUUUUAACUGACCCUUGUUUUUAAAAUGGCAAAGCAGGAAGAAUGUUACAGUUUAGUUUCUUUUUAAAAAAAAACACGAAGUCGACCAUUUUUUGCCAACACUGACCAGCGGUACAUGGCUUUUCACUGGAGCUGCCCCAUUCUACUAUACCAUUUCACACAUGGUUUUCUUGCAUUUCGGCGCAACCGUGGGAUGAAGGUGUGGGGAUAGGGGGUGAAGAUCGCUUUUAUUUUCUCACCAGCCGAAUUCUCGUGUGCGUUUGCCGUGUCCUGUGGCUUACCGCGCUGAAGGGAUGAGCUGGAUGUCUAAGCAAUGCCACUCAACUAUUGCACGCGUGCAACAAAAGCCCAAACUAUAAGGAGACAAACAGGAGGCUGGAAGAACACAGCAAGCCAGACUAUAAAUUGCUGCUGCUUUUAGAUUUACAGUGUGGAAACAGGCCCUUCGGCCCAACAAGUCCACAACGACCCUCCGAGGAGCAACCCACCCAGACACAUUCCCUGACAUUUACGUCUUCACCUAACACUACGGGCAAUUUAGCAUGGCCAGUUCACCUAACCUGCACAUUUUUGGAAUGUGGGAGCUGGGGAAGUAUCUGAUCAUUUACUUGACCCUUCCGGGAUGGGAACCCUCCCAAGUGGAAACUGACAAGACACGUGUUUGUGCGCUCGAUAUUUUGCUAAUCGACCUGCUCAGCGAUCGUACUGUUGGUGUGUUUUCAGAUACUGAGCCAACAUGCCACCGCCCAAAUCCUUCAGGUAGCACCUCUCAAUCGGAGCUAACUCGCCGGUGAUCAGACUGUGUGACUGUCGAUCUUGUGUGUGACUGCCGCGUGUAAAAGCUGUUACAAUGUUACCUUGUGGAGUUCCGGGGAAGCAGAGCUGCACCCGGCAGCAGUAUGGAAACCCACGCUGAUUAUCGUUCGAGAGUGCUGUCGAAGACAUUCAAUCCAGUUCCUUUAUCGCAUUUUGUGUUGAGCGAAGGAUGUGCUUCAACCAGAGUUACGCAGGGAAAUCUCCCACACAAAAUCAAUCGACACAUCUUUAAUUUCUAAAAUAAAUUGGAGCCACGACCAGAAAAGGAGGAACCCCCAUCUGUACAACGCUGAUCGUAACUUCGAGGCAUUCCAGAGCGUUUCACAGCCAACACUUACAUAAUGUAAUAACUCGCGGUGUAGGAAAUUUAUACAAAGCAGGAUCCCAUAAACAUCAAUGAUCUGAAUACCCAACUAGUCUGUUUUAAGUGGUUCUGGUUGAGGGAUAAUUGGCUGAGGCCGGGAGCAUUCUGUGCUCUUAUUUAAAAUAGUGCCAUGUCGUCAUUUGGCUACACCUGCAGGUGUUGCUGGAUCUGCUGAGUACCUCUACCAUUUUCUGUUUCGAACAUUGACUAAAAUGCUCUGGUGGGAAGAUGGAAUGAAAUUCAUGUCUUGCACGUGUUACACUGGUCAUUAUACUUUACCAUGUUUCCAGUUACAUGGAAUUUUGCAUCCUAAGAUGGCAUCCUGAAGUAUGCUAAGAAAGAAUGAUCUGCAUUUGUUUCGUACUUAAUCAACAACUUGUUUUUUUUUGUAUUGAAUACUCUUAAGUUGUUUUACAGAGGCAAAACCAGACAGAAGAUAAGGAUAUUGGGUGACAAAAUGCUGAGUGAAGAGCUUUGGGCCACUAGAUGCACAGUUCACCUUCCAGUCCUCCAGCUGCUCCUUCCUCGCCAAGCACAGCUUCGACUUCCAGAAGGCAUGAUACUCCGGGCGCUCUACUGGAGACCUGAGGACACCUCGGAGAAAGUGGGAAAGAUCUUACUGUGGGACUGAUGCAGUAGUUCAAUAGAUAAGGUUUAAGGACGUUUUGUACAGCUGGAAAAGGGAAAUGAUGGGGCAGAAGAGUCUAGUAAGCGAUUUGCAAAAUGAAGGAUGUGCUGCAUUGGGCAAUGUAUCUAGUCCAUAUGACGUACAAAUUCACUAAAAUAAAAAGCAAAGACUACAAAUGUUUGAGAUCUGUUAAUACUUCAUAAAACGCAGAAGAGUAAGUUAAGGAAAGCGUUGGAUGAAAAGAGGCCACUAAGCCUUUAAACUUUCUCCCUCUUACCUAAUAAUUCUUUUAUGUUGAAGAGUUUGCUUUUGCCCUAAUUAUUUAUUUUCUGUUUGAUCAAAAAUGGUUUUCCAACCACUGUUACAAAUUUGCUGCCUUUUUAUUAAUUCACAGAAUUGUGUUUCUCAAUCGCAUCAUUAUUUAUUGCUCUUGAGAAGGUAAUGGUUGUAACUACACCAAAUCGACCACUGCAGCCUAUUUAAUAUAGGUACACUCACAAUGCUAUUAGGAAGGAAGUUUAGGAUUUUGAUUCAGUGAUACUGAAGGUACAGCAAUAUAUUUCCAAGUCAGAAUUUUGAGUGAAUUGAAGGGGAAUUUGCAGGUGCUGCCUUUGUCCUUUCAGAUGGUCGUGGUUGUGGGUUUCAUUACCAUUAUUAAAAUAG